Long non-coding RNA from Zingiber officinale, 1444 nucleotides. RefSeq lists it as uncharacterized. The transcript has 2 exons. Lineage: Eukaryota; Viridiplantae; Streptophyta; Magnoliopsida; Zingiberales; Zingiberaceae. The record is from RefSeq and is a predicted model, not a curated record.
UCAUGAAACCCUAAUUUCCUCCUUCGUGCGCCGGCACAACAAACACCUUCGCAAGCCAUUCUUUGGAUGCCCUUCUUCUCUUGUAGUGCUGGAUUCAUUGUUAGUACUUUGCUGGAUAAGCUGCACCAUCGACGGGAGUUUUGCUUGUCGUCAAUGUCUUAAUUUGCCGCCUAAGAGCUUUCGCCACGCCAGGCUUGAGAGCUUGUGCUGCUCAAUUCUUCCUUGGAUGGCUGAGGGAAUUAUUUUCGGAAUUUAUGUUUUUACCGAUCUUUAGUGACUUGCUUUUAUUUGAGAUUUUUCGAUGCUUUUUUUUUGUUAUUAUUAUCAUACUUCUUCGUUCUUUCGGUGAUGACACUUCUAAGGCUUGUUUCUCAAAACAUUCGCAGUAGCCGCCUGAGAGCUUUCGCUUCGCCUAGCUUGAGAGCAAAUGCUGCUUAAAUUUCCUUCCUUGGAUGUCUGAGACGAUCAAUAUAAUUUCUCGUUCUCUCGGUUUGAAAUAUCAAGUUAGGAUUUGAUUUGUUAUUGUGUUAUGCUGGUCUAAUUAGUCGAUGGAAUCUUUGAUUUGGUAUUUGUACGUUGGCGCUCGUCUUGAUUUUGUGAUAUAUUGAUUAUCUGAUUUAUUAAUUGGAUCAUCGAUUCCUAUACUUAAGGUUCGUCAAUUUUUGAUCUGUCUCUUGCUAAGUUAGAAUUGUUUUAUUUCAAUAUUGUAUAGUUUUAAAAAAUAUGUUUUUACUUCCAAUGAUGACAAAUUCUAAGGCCUGUUUCUCAAAACAUUCGCAGUGGCCGCCUAAGUGCUUUCGCCUUGCCAGGCUCGAGAGCUUAUGCUGCUUAAUUCUUCCUUGGAUGUCUGAGGUUUUUGUUAUCCUUGAUUGUCUCGAGGGGAAAACAAAAGUUCGCUUUUAGUUUCGUAUGUAAAUUUCUGUUUAUUUGGUUCUAUGGAUUUAUCGUUGAUAUACUGCGUUGUUUUCAAUAAAUAAAUCAUUAAUACGGCAACUUUCGUAUCAGAGACAUAUUUCCAUUGCAAGGAAACAACAGUCAAUGGAUUGCAUGUACUCGAUCUGAUUGCAAUGUUUCCUUUUGUUUCAAUGUUCUUCAGAAGUGCCUUUGAGUCUCGAGAUAAAAUAAGACAAUUGAAUCUUCGAAAUGAUAGUGGAUGUCGUAGCAGACUUCGAUGGCAUGAUCCAGGAAUCAAAUGUUUCUUUUUGUUGCAUGGACAGGUUUUUGCUCUUAUUGUGAUAUGUGCAACGAUGCCCUGUUUCCGUGCUCAUGUUGGCUUUGAGCUCUUAAUCGUUAUCAAAUUUAGUGUUUCUCCUUUUUUAAAGCACAUCUUGUGCCAAUUUAGAAAUCGAAGAAAAUGAACUAAAUUUGAUUUUAAUUACCUGCAUGUCUCCCUAUGUAACUCGCAAUUCAAUUCGAUAUUAAAUUACAGUAUAUAAAUAAACAA